UGCGCAGGCGGUUUUGUAAGACAGAGGUGAAAUCCCCGGGCUCAACCUGGGAACUGCCUUUGUGACUGCAAGGCUAGAGUACGGCAGAGGGGGAGUGGAAUUCCGCGUGUAGCAGUGAAAUGCGUAGAUAUGCGGAGGAACACCGAUGGCGAAGGCAAUCCCCUGGGCCUGUACUGACGCUCAUGCACGAAAGCGUGGGAGCAAACA
This 207-nucleotide ribosomal RNA is filed under the name uncultured bacterium. RNAcentral's name for it is "partial 16S ribosomal RNA". It matches the Rfam family "Bacterial small subunit ribosomal RNA", at positions 568 to 774 of the family's 1533-position model. The record is from RNAcentral.